RNAcentral lists this ribosomal RNA (250 nucleotides) under uncultured bacterium. RNAcentral's name for it is "partial 16S ribosomal RNA". It matches the Rfam family "Bacterial small subunit ribosomal RNA", at positions 524 to 773 of the family's 1533-position model. The record is from RNAcentral.
UACGAAGGUCCCAAGCGUUGUUCGGAAUCACUGGGCGUAAAGGGAGCGUAGGCGGCGUGGUAAGUCAGAUGUGAAAUCCCGGGGCUCAACCCCGGAACUGCAUCCGAUACUGCCAUGCUAGAGGAUUGGAGAGGUAGCUGGAAUUCUCGGUGUAGCAGUGAAAUGCGUAGAGAUCGAGAGGAACACUCGUGGCGAAAGCGAGCUACUGGACAAUUCCUGACGCUGAGGCUCGAAGGCUAGGGUAGCGAAA